RNAcentral lists this ribosomal RNA (253 nucleotides) under uncultured bacterium. Its description in RNAcentral is "partial 16S ribosomal RNA". It matches the Rfam family "Bacterial small subunit ribosomal RNA", at positions 524 to 776 of the family's 1533-position model. The record is from RNAcentral.
UACGUAGGGUCCGAGCGUUGUCCGGAAUUACUGGGCGUAAAGAGCUCGUAGGUGGUUUGUCGCGUUGUUCGUGAAAACUCACAGCUCAACUGUGGGCGUGCGGGCGAUACGGGCAGACUGGAGUACUGCAGGGGAGACUGGAAUUCCUGGUGUAGCGGUGGAAUGCGCAGAUAUCAGGAGGAACACCAGUGGCGAAGGCGCCGCUCUGGGCCGAGACUGACGCUGAGGAGCGAAAGCGUGGGUAGCAAACAGG